RNAcentral lists this unclassified non-coding RNA (357 nucleotides) under soil metagenome. RNAcentral describes it as "partial contains 5.8S ribosomal RNA, internal transcribed spacer 2, and large subunit ribosomal RNA". The stretch from base 1 to 120 matches the Rfam family "5.8S ribosomal RNA", at positions 35 to 154 of the family's 154-position model. The record is from RNAcentral.
GAUGAAGAACGCAGCGAAAUGCGAAAAGUAGUGUGAAUUGCAGAAUUCAGUGAAUCAUCGAAUCUUUGAACGCACAUUGCGCCCGCUGGUAUUCCGGCGGGCAUGCCUGUUCGAGCGUCAUUUCAACCCUCAAGCUCUCCGGAGUUUGGUGUUGGGGCGCCUGGGGCUUUUCGACCUCAGGGCCCUCAAGUCCAUCGGCGGGACCGCCAGGACACUGAGCGCAGUAGUAUUAUUUCGCUCGGUAGGAUCUUCCACGGCGGGUCGAUCUGGCCGCUAAACCCCCCAAUUCUCACCAAAGGUUGACCUCGGAUCAGGUAGGAAUACCCGCUGAACUUAAGCAUAUCAAUAAGCGGAGGA